This is a long non-coding RNA of Eriocheir sinensis (Chinese mitten crab), 1536 nucleotides long. RefSeq lists it as uncharacterized. The transcript is spliced from 2 exons. Lineage: Eukaryota; Metazoa; Arthropoda; Malacostraca; Decapoda; Varunidae. The record is from RefSeq and is a predicted model, not a curated record.
UUUGGUGGAGGUAGGCCUAAGUGUUAUGAUACUGAAAUAUAUAGACUCGAGAUGAUUCUGUGAUGGGUUAGAGCUGUUGUACCAUUGUGAUUAUUGGGGGAUUGUGGGGUUAGGAAAUAUAUUGGUGAUGGUGGAGGAUUGCCUGGUGUGUGUGUGUGUGUGUGUGUGUGUGUGUGUAUUUACCUAUUUGUGGUUUACAGGGCCUGAGCUAAGGUUGUAUGAUCCUGUCUCCUUGUCUAUAUUUGUCCAAUUUUUUCUUCACAAUAUCCUCCUUUAGACCAUUCCACUCAUCCACGCUUUUGUAUGGGAAACUAUUUUUUUUGUGUGUGUGUGUGUGUGCCUGUUGUGUGUGUAUAUGUGCGUGUGUGUGUGUCAGGGCUGGCAAUACAUCUAAUUUAUUAUGAAGAACCACCAUCCCUAAAUCCCCCUUUAUGAUAUGUUAGUCUGUUAGGAUGGAUAGUUGUGAGCAAGUUGUGCUGGGGAGGCAAGUAUCUAUACAUGCUACAAACCCUCUCUCAAAUGUCAGAGAAGUGUAUAUCUUUAGCUCUCUUUGUGGUUCAUUGAGGGCAGCGAGUGAAUGAUGCAGGCAGAGCAGUCGUGAGGUUAGUAUAAAUAUAAGAAAGUGUCGAUGGAGGGUGGAUAAUAUUCUGAAUGAAGAAGACGAUGAAAAUAACAGGUUCACUGGAGCUGCCUUGUGGUUCAUUAAGGGUACUGAAGGAGUGAUACUGAGCAGUCAUGAGGUUAGUAUAAAUAUAUGAGUGUCAAUGGAGGGUGGAUCGAUGUUUGGAUGAGGAAGACAGAAUGAAGAAUAAUAGGUUUACUAGAGUUGCCUCGUGUUGGCUGACUGGCCUAGCACAGAGCCAUAGAUAGGGAGAGUUAUGCUACUUGCAGUCUUUCAUCCAUACCACUCAUGCUCACUGCCUACCACUCGGAGCUCCUGCCUCAACACCAGCUGCUGGAAUGUCAAAUAUCACAAUUUUUAUUUCUUGGUGUUAAACUUGUGUUCAGGCAGAAGCGCUGGGAUAGGAGGAAGUGAGCCUGAGCAGCGUUCCCAGAUUAUUGUACUCAGAGCAUUGUAUUUUUCGGUUUCCACACAACUGUUGCAAAAGAAAGACACCAGUAAUUAACCAUUUCAAUGAUAACUAUAAAUAAAUCUAACUAUUGAGGUGGAGACAGUUUUAGGGUUGGAAAUCGGCAAAUAUAAGAGGCUGGGCACGACAAUCUGGCAACGCUGAGUCCAAGUGGUUUAAGUGGAAAAUGGUGUUGAGGAAGCCCAUGGCCACACUCACCCCAUCUACGGCUCUGGCCUGGCACAGUAUUCUUGUUCCUUGGUGAGACAGUAGACAGAGGCAUUUACUCAACACAGUGGUGGGAGUGUUCAUGGGGCGGUGACUGAGUGCAUAAUAUUACUACUUAGUCUCAGCUUCAAAGCUAUUUUUAUAUGUAAGCAAGCAAUAAUAUAUUCUUACGAUUUGUAUAUGAGAAGCUUGGGAAAUAUUUCUUUAUGUAUUUAAAGAAUAAACAUUUUUAUUACUA